RNAcentral lists this ribosomal RNA (253 nucleotides) under uncultured bacterium. RNAcentral's name for it is "partial 16S ribosomal RNA". It matches the Rfam family "Bacterial small subunit ribosomal RNA", at positions 524 to 776 of the family's 1533-position model. The record is from RNAcentral.
UACGUAGGGUGCAAGCGUUGUCCGGAAUUAUUGGGCGUAAAGAGCUCGUAGGCGGUUCGUCGCGUCGGCUGUGAAAUCCCGAGGCUCAACCUCGGGUCUGCAGUCGAUACGGGCGGACUGGAGUUCGGCAGGGGAGACUGGAAUUCCUGGUGUAGCGGUGAAAUGCGCAGAUAUCAGGAGGAACACCGGUGGCGAAGGCGGGUCUCUGGGCCGAUACUGACGCUGAGGAGCGAAAGCGUGGGGAGCGAACGGG